UACGUAGGGGGCAAGCGUUGUUCGGAUUCAUUGGGCGUAAAGGGUGUGUAGGUGGCGCUGUAAGUCGGGUGUGAAAUCUCGGGGCUUAACUCCGAAACUGCAUUCGAUACUGCGGUGCUUGAGGACUGGAGAGGAGACUGGAAUUCAUGGUGUAGCAGUGAAAUGCGUAGAGAUCAUGAGGAAGACCAGUGGCGAAGGCGGGUCUCUGGACAGUUCCUGACACUGAGACACGAAGGCCAGGGGAGCAAACGGG
Molecule: ribosomal RNA, 253 nt
Filed under: uncultured bacterium
Lineage: Bacteria
Description: partial 16S ribosomal RNA
Rfam family: Bacterial small subunit ribosomal RNA
Source: RNAcentral